GAUGAAGAACGCAGCGAAAUGCGAUAAGUAAUGUGAAUUGCAGAAUCCAGUGAAUCAUCGAAUCUUUGAACGCACAUUGCGCCCGCCAGCAUUCUGGCGGGCAUGCCUGUUCGAGCGUCAUUUCAACCCUCGACCUCCCUUUGGGGAAGUCGGCGUUGGGGACCGGCAGCACACCGCCGGCCCUGAAAUGGAGUGGCGGCCCGUCCGCGGCGACCUCUGCGUAGUAAUCCAACUCGCACCGGAACCCCGACGCGGCCACGCCGUAAAACACCCAACUUCUGAACGUUGACCUCGAAUCAGGUAGGACUACCCGCUGAACUUAAGCAUAUCAAUAGCGGAGGA
RNAcentral lists this unclassified non-coding RNA (342 nucleotides) under soil metagenome. Its description in RNAcentral is "partial contains 5.8S ribosomal RNA, internal transcribed spacer 2, and large subunit ribosomal RNA". The stretch from base 1 to 120 matches the Rfam family "5.8S ribosomal RNA", at positions 35 to 154 of the family's 154-position model. The record is from RNAcentral.